RNAcentral lists this ribosomal RNA (530 nucleotides) under Sticta hirsutofuliginosa. RNAcentral describes it as "eukaryotic LSU rRNA". It matches the Rfam family "Eukaryotic large subunit ribosomal RNA", at positions 102 to 646 of the family's 3401-position model. The record is from RNAcentral. Lineage: Eukaryota; Fungi; Ascomycota; Lecanoromycetes; Peltigerales; Lobariaceae.
CAACAGCUCAAAUUUGAAAUCUGGCUCUUUUGGGGCCCGAGUUGUAAUUUGUAGAGGGUGUUUCGGGCGCGAUGCCGGUCUAAGUUCCUUGGAACAGGACGUCGUAGAGGGUGAGAAUCCCGUAUGCGACCGGCGAUCAAGCCCGUGCGAAACCCCUUCGACGAGUCGAGUUGUUUGGGAAUGCAGCUCAAAAUGGGUGGUAAAUUUCAUCUAAAGCUAAAUACUGGCCAGAGACCGAUAGCGGACAAGUAGAGUGAUCGAAAGAUGAAAAGCACUUUGGAAAGAGAGUCAAACAGUACGUGAAAUUGUUGAAAGGGAAGCGCUUGCAAUCAGACCGGUCCGGAGGCGAUCAGCCGCUGCUUGUCAGCGGUGCACUCGCCUGCGAUCCGGCCAGCAUCGGUUUGGGCGGCGGGAUAAAAGUCCCGGGAAUGUAGCUUCCCCCGGGGAGUCUUAUAGCCCGGGUCGCAAUGCCGCCCGCCUGGACCGAGGACCGCGCUUCGGCUAGGAUGCUGGCGUAAUGGUUGCAAGCG